This 55-nucleotide transfer RNA is filed under the name Loxodonta africana (African savanna elephant). It matches the Rfam family "tRNA", at positions 10 to 63 of the family's 71-position model. From Rfam's summary of the family: Transfer RNA (tRNA) molecules are approximately 80 nucleotides in length. Their secondary structure includes four short double-helical elements and three loops (D, anti-codon, and T loops). Further hydrogen bonds mediate the characteristic L-shaped molecular structure. tRNAs have two regions of fundamental functional importance: the anti-codon, which is responsible for specific mRNA codon recognition, and the 3' end, to which the tRNAs corresponding amino acid is attached (by aminoacyl-tRNA synthetases). tRNAs cope with the degeneracy of the genetic code in two manners: having more than one tRNA (with a specific anti-codon) for a particular amino acid; and 'wobble' base-pairing, i.e. permitting non-standard base-pairing at the 3rd anti-codon position. Lineage: Eukaryota; Metazoa; Chordata; Mammalia; Proboscidea; Elephantidae. The record is from Rfam by way of RNAcentral.
ACAAAUGGCUAAUGUGUUUGGCUGUUAUUCAAAAGGCUGGUGGUUCAAGUCCACC